UGCGUAGGCGGCGGGGAAAGUCAGAUGUGAAAUCCGGAGGCUCAACCUCCGAAUUGCAUCCGAUACUCCCUCGCUAGAGAUUUGUAGAGGAGCUUGGAAUUCUCGGUGUAGCAGUGAAAUGCGUAGAUAUCGAGAAGAACGCUCGCAGCGAAGGCGAAGCUCUGGGCAAAUUCUGACGCUGAUGCACGAAGGCUAGGGGAGCAAAC
RNAcentral lists this ribosomal RNA (206 nucleotides) under uncultured bacterium. Its description in RNAcentral is "partial 16S ribosomal RNA". It matches the Rfam family "Bacterial small subunit ribosomal RNA", at positions 568 to 773 of the family's 1533-position model. The record is from RNAcentral.